Cercocebus atys (sooty mangabey) is the source of this 121-nucleotide ribosomal RNA. The record is from Ensembl. NCBI's taxonomy places the organism in Eukaryota, Metazoa, Chordata, Mammalia, Primates, Cercopithecidae.
GUCCACGGCCAUAACACCCUGAAUGCGCCCGAUCUCAUCUGAUCUCAGAAGCUAAGCAGGUUCGGGCCUGGUUAGUACUUGGAUGGGAGAAAAUGAAGAGCCAGGCUGGACACGGUGGCUC